This 460-nucleotide ribosomal RNA is filed under the name uncultured bacterium. RNAcentral describes it as "partial 16S ribosomal RNA". It matches the Rfam family "Bacterial small subunit ribosomal RNA", at positions 338 to 795 of the family's 1533-position model. The record is from RNAcentral.
CCUACGGGAGGCAGCAGUGAGGAAUAUUGGUCAAUGGGCGCGAGCCUGAACCAGCCAAGUAGCGUGAAGGAUGACUGCCCUACGGGUUGUAAACUUCUUUUAUAAAGGAAUACAGUGAGGCACGUGUGCCUUUUUGUAUGUACUUUAUGUAUAAGGAUCGGCUAACUCCGUGCCAUCAGCCGCGGUAAUACGGAGGAUCCGAGCGUUAUCCGGAUAUAUUGGGUUUAAAGGGAGCGUAGAUGGGUUGUUAAGUCAGUUGUGAAAGUUUGGGGCUCAACCGUACAAUUGCACUUGAUACUGGCAGUCUUGAGUACAGUAGAGGUAGGCGGAAUUCGUGGUGUAGCGGUGAAAUGCUUAGAUAUCACGAAGAACUCCGAUGGCGAAGGCAGCUUACUAAACUGCCACUGACGUUGAUGGUCGAAAGUGUGGGUAGCAAACAGGAUUAGAUACCCGUGUAGUC